Molecule: long non-coding RNA, 676 nt
Organism: Eutrema salsugineum
Lineage: Eukaryota; Viridiplantae; Streptophyta; Magnoliopsida; Brassicales; Brassicaceae
Exons: 2
Source: RefSeq, a predicted model, not a curated record
AUUGAUAUUUUAAAUACUAAUAAUUUUCUUCGAAAAUCGGUGGCAAAUUUGCCAUUAAUUUCCAACCCAUUUCCGACCACCACAGUUUAUUAAACCUAGAUCUGAAAUUGUUUAUCCUUAUAACCCCCAGCCGCCUCAUUAAUGGACCAUCUCUUCUCCAACGACGAAACACCGCUGAUCUACACCACUUGUCCGUCCGCUCAUCUCCAGUUACUCCUCUCUAAUUGUUUGGUGUGGUUCCUUUCCUCCUCCUUCUCGAUUUCUUUCGUUUUCUUUUUUUUUUAGACAUCAUCUUCUCUUCUUUUUCUUCCUUAUCUUUUCCCAUUUGUAUGUGCCACUUCCAUUUGUCGUGAUCUUUCGGAAGAACCACCAAAAGAGCACAAACACGACUCAUCACCGGAACAUUACCUAAAAAGCACAAAUUUUAAUAUUUUAUAUUUUUAAUUUUUAAUUUAUUUUAAUUUCUAUUAUUUCUCUGUAUUUUUUUUAGUUUUGCUGUAUUUUCCUUUUUUAUAUUUUUUAAUUAAAUUUAUCUAUUCCGUUGGAAUUCGGUGGAAAUCAAUGGAUUAUUUUCCCAUCAAUUGUCAACGAAUAUUUCCGACCGUAUUUUCGACCAAUAUUUUGGUAGAGAAUUUCCCACCGCCUUCCGACUAUUUUCAAUUUGCAAUGAACGAUU